GGGUUGUGAGGUUAAGCGACUAAGCGUACACGGUGGAUGCCCUGGCAGUCAGAGGCGAUGAAGGACGUGCUAAUCUGCGAUAAGCGUCGGUAAGGUGAUAUGAACCGUUAUAACCGGCGAUUUCCGAAUGGGGAAACCCAGUGUGUUUCGACACACUAUCAUUAACUGAAUCCAUAGGUUAAUGAGGCGAACCGGGGGAACUGAAACAUCUAAGUACCCCGAGGAAAAGAAAUCAACCGAGAUUCCCCCAGUAGCGGCGAGCGAACGGGGAGCAGCCCAGAGCCUGAAUCAGUGUGUGUGUUAGUGGAAGCGUCUGGAAAGGCGCGCGAUACAGGGUGACAGCCCCGUACACAAAAAUGCACAUACUGUGAGCUCGAUGAGUAGGGCGGGACACGUGGUAUCCUGUCUGAAUAUGGGGGGACCAUCCUCCAAGGCUAAAUACUCCUGACUGACCGAUAGUGAACCAGUACCGUGAGGGAAAGGCGAAAAGAACCCCGGCGAGGGGAGUGAAAAAGAACCUGAAACCGUGUACGUACAAGCAGUGGGAGCCUCUUAAUGGGGUGACUGCGUACCUUUUGUAUAAUGGGUCAGCGACUUAUAUUCUGUAGCAAGGUUAACCGAAUAGGGGAGCCGAAGGGAAACCGAGUCUUAACUGGGCGUUAAGUUGCAGGGUAUAGACCCGAAACCCGGUGAUCUAGCCAUGGGCAGGUUGAAGGUUGGGUAACACUAACUGGAGGACCGAACCGACUAAUGUUGAAAAAUUAGCGGAUGACUUGUGGCUGGGGGUGAAAGGCCAAUCAAACCGGGAGAUAGCUGGUUCUCCCCGAAAGCUAUUUAGGUAGCGCCUCGUGAAUUCAUCUCCGGGGGUAGAGCACUGUUUCGGCAAGGGGGUCAUCCCGACUUACCAACCCGAUGCAAACUGCGAAUACCGGAGAAUGUUAUCACGGGAGACACACGGCGGGUGCUAACGUCCGUCGUGAAGAGGGAAACAACCCAGACCGCCAGCUAAGGUCCCAAAGUCAUGGUUAAGUGGGAAACGAUGUGGGAAGGCCCAGACAGCCAGGAUGUUGGCUUAGAAGCAGCCAUCAUUUAAAGAAAGCGUAAUAGCUCACUGGUCGAGUCGGCCUGCGCGGAAGAUGUAACGGGGCUAAACCAUGCACCGAAGCUGCGGCAGCGACACUAUGUGUUGUUGGGUAGGGGAGCGUUCUGUAAGCCUGUGAAGGUGUACUGUGAGGUAUGCUGGAGGUAUCAGAAGUGCGAAUGCUGACAUAAGUAACGAUAAAGCGGGUGAAAAGCCCGCUCGCCGGAAGACCAAGGGUUCCUGUCCAACGUUAAUCGGGGCAGGGUGAGUCGACCCCUAAGGCGAGGCCGAAAGGCGUAGUCGAUGGGAAACAGGUUAAUAUUCCUGUACUUGGUGUUACUGCGAAGGGGGGACGGAGAAGGCUAUGUUGGCCGGGCGACGGUUGUCCCGGUUUAAGCGUGUAGGCUGAUUUUCCAGGCAAAUCCGGAAAAUCAAGGCUGAGGCGUGAUGACGAGGCACUACGGUGCUGAAGCAACAAAUGCCCUGCUUCCAGGAAAAGCCUCUAAGCAUCAGGUAACAUCAAAUCGUACCCCAAACCGACACAGGUGGUCAGGUAGAGAAUACCAAGGCGCUUGAGAGAACUCGGGUGAAGGAACUAGGCAAAAUGGUGCCGUAACUUCGGGAGAAGGCACGCUGAUAUGUAGGUGAAGUCCCUCGCGGAUGGAGCUGAAAUCAGUCGAAGAUACCAGCUGGCUGCAACUGUUUAUUAAAAACACAGCACUGUGCAAACACGAAAGUGGACGUAUACGGUGUGACGCCUGCCCGGUGCCGGAAGGUUAAUUGAUGGGGUUAGCGGUAACGCGAAGCUCUUGAUCGAAGCCCCGGUAAACGGCGGCCGUAACUAUAACGGUCCUAAGGUAGCGAAAUUCCUUGUCGGGUAAGUUCCGACCUGCACGAAUGGCGUAAUGAUGGCCAGGCUGUCUCCACCCGAGACUCAGUGAAAUUGAACUCGCUGUGAAGAUGCAGUGUACCCGCGGCAAGACGGAAAGACCCCGUGAACCUUUACUAUAGCUUGACACUGAACAUUGAGCCUUGAUGUGUAGGAUAGGUGGGAGGCUUUGAAGUGUGGACGCCAGUCUGCAUGGAGCCGGCCUUGAAAUACCACCCUUUAAUGUUUGAUGUUCUAACGUUGGCCCCUUACCGGGGUUGCGGACAGUGUCUGGUGGGUAGUUUGACUGGGGCGGUCUCCUCCUAAAGAGUAACGGAGGAGCACGAAGGUUGGCUAAUCCUGGUCGGACAUCAGGAGGUUAGUGCAAUGGCAUAAGCCAGCUUGACUGCGAGCGUGACGGCGCGAGCAGGUGCGAAAGCAGGUCAUAGUGAUCCGGUGGUUCUGAAUGGAAGGGCCAUCGCUCAACGGAUAAAAGGUACUCCGGGGAUAACAGGCUGAUACCGCCCAAGAGUUCAUAUCGACGGCGGUGUUUGGCACCUCGAUGUCGGCUCAUCACAUCCUGGGGCUGAAGUAGGUCCCAAGGGUAUGGCUGUUCGCCAUUUAAAGUGGUACGCGAGCUGGGUUUAGAACGUCGUGAGACAGUUCGGUCCCUAUCUGCCGUGGGCGCUGGAGAACUGAGGGGGGCUGCUCCUAGUACGAGAGGACCGGAGUGGACGCAUCACUGGUGUUCGGGUUGUCAUGCCAAUGGCACUGCCCGGUAGCUAAAUGCGGAAGAGAUAAGUGCUGAAAGCAUCUAAGCACGAAACUUGCCCCGAGAUGAGUUCUCCCUGACCCUUUAAGGGUCCUGAAGGAACGUUGAAGACGACGACGUUGAUAGGCCGGGUGUGUAAGCGCAGCGAUGCGUUGAGCUAACCGGUACUAAUGAACCGUGAGGCUUAACCUUACAACGCCGAAGGUGUUU
RNAcentral lists this ribosomal RNA (2931 nucleotides) under Escherichia coli. RNAcentral describes it as "23S ribosomal RNA". It matches the Rfam family "Bacterial large subunit ribosomal RNA". The record is from RNAcentral. Lineage: Bacteria; Pseudomonadati; Pseudomonadota; Gammaproteobacteria; Enterobacterales; Enterobacteriaceae.